UUCCCUCUGUGUUUUUCAGAAAUCCUGUUUGCAAGGUCAUUAAUCACCUUAUCCAUUAUCCCAGGAACAAAUGGAUUUGUCGCUUGAGCUCAGAAGCCGAGGUUGAUUCUGAAAACAAAUUGUAUCAAAAUAAAUGAAAUUAUUAUGAUAAUAUAAAAUAGACCACAGUGAUUAAUCUCCAGAAACCAAAUUUUGACCUGUUUUGCACUUCAAAACAAUAGCUUCUGUUAUGUAAAUACUUGUGGGGUUUUCAAGGACAACAUUUACUAAAUUACAAGAAAAGUUCUUUUCGUGAAAAAUCUCCCCGUGGAUAAACAUUAGAGAUAGAAAAUCCGGUCUACACAACACCCAAGGCAGAGGACAAUGGAAGUGAUGGUGGUUCAGGAAUCACUUCAAUUCCCUGACUACUUGGUUGGCUUUCUUUGAGAUUCCUUCCAGAUAUCUGGCCUUUUCACCCUGGAGUUCCUGCAUCCAGAGUGGCUCUUCUGUAAAGGUCAGUGUUGAAUCCCAUUUCCGCUGGGUGAGUUCACCUUUGUCACAUGCUUGAUAGAUACCACUGGCCUUUGUGCUCAGAGAGGAUCUGCCCUUGAAAACUAGUUCCACUCUCUGUCUAAGC
RNAcentral lists this long non-coding RNA (616 nucleotides) under Canis lupus familiaris (dog). Its description in RNAcentral is "lncRNA (ENSCAFG00845004150.1)". Lineage: Eukaryota; Metazoa; Chordata; Mammalia; Carnivora; Canidae. The record is from RNAcentral.